CCUACGGGAGGCAGCAGUGAGGAAUAUUGGUCAAUGGCCGUAAGGCUGAACCAGCCAAGCCGCGUGAAGGAAGAAGGAUCUAUGGUUUGUAAACUUCUUUUAUAGGGGAAUAAAGGUAUCCACGUGUGGAUAUUUGCAUGUACCCUAUGAAUAAGCAUCGGCUAACGUAGUGCCAGCAGCCGCGGUAAUACGGAGGAUGCGAGCGUUACUCGGAUUUAUUGGGUUUAAAGGGUACGUAGGUUGUUGUUUAAGUCAGCGGUGAAAGUUUGUGGCUCAACCAUAGAAUUGCCGUUGAAACUGGAAAACUUGAGUGUGGUUGAGGUAGGCAGAAUGCGUGGUGUAGCGGUGAAAUGCAUAGAUAGCACGCAGAACUCCGAUUGCGAAGGCAGCUUACUAAGCCAUAACUGACACUGAAGCACGAAAGCGUGGGGAUCAAACAGGAUUAGAUACCCUGGUAGUC
This 460-nucleotide ribosomal RNA is filed under the name uncultured bacterium. RNAcentral's name for it is "partial 16S ribosomal RNA". It matches the Rfam family "Bacterial small subunit ribosomal RNA", at positions 338 to 795 of the family's 1533-position model. The record is from RNAcentral.